AAGUUGCUUUUUGAGAUUUUUCUCGCCUUAGCCCUGAAUGCUGCAUGCUCUGAAAGAAUCCAGUUAUGGGAACACAAAUUACCUCAUCCUCAGUUUCACUUUAAAAUAAAAUAAAUAGGUUAGAUUUUCAAGUGUUAUUAAGUUGCUUACACAAAUUUAAAGUCAUGAGCAUGACUUUAGGAUCUGUGCUUUUUAUGUCAAGUGCU
Homo sapiens (human) is the source of this 206-nucleotide long non-coding RNA. Lineage: Eukaryota; Metazoa; Chordata; Mammalia; Primates; Hominidae. The record is from Ensembl.